AUGAUUGUAACCAUGGUUAGUGCUUCUUGUAAAAGAAAGGAUGCAUUAUUACAAAAGCAUCAUGAAAAGAUUGUGUGGCAAUUAGAAAAUGGGGAGAUUGUUAAAGGAAGAGGCAAACAUCAAGAGACAACUUUAGCAAGACCCGGUGAUACGCGAUGGGGAUCUCACCAUAGGACAUUGAUUCGGCUUCAUCAAAUGUGGGAUUCGGUGAUUCAAGUGCUACAUGCUAUUUCUCAUGAUGGGGAGGAUGCGGAUGAUAGAGGCAAAGCAUCAGGUUUGAUGAAAUCUAUGGAGGUCUUUGAAUUUGUUCUGAUCUUACAUUUGAUGCUUAAAGUGCUUGGUUUGACUAAUGACUUGUCACAAGCAUUGCAACAAAAGGAUCAAAACAUAGUAAGUGCAAUGAACAUGAUUGUGUCUGUUAAAAGUUUAUUGCAACAGCUAAGGGAUGACAGAUGGGAGGCACUUUUGGUGGCUGCCACUUCGUUUUGUAUUAAAAGAGAGAUACCAGUGCCUAGUAUGGAUGAAAAUAUACUAGCAAGGGGUUACCCAAGGAGUUCCCGCAAAAUGGUUAGUUGCUUCCAUCACUACAAAGUUGAAAUAUUCAAUGAGGUUCUUGAUAGAAACAUAGCUGAGAUGAAUAACCGGUUCAGCGAAACUUCAACAAGGUUAUUGAUAUGCAUUGCUAGUCUAGAUCCUAGAGACUCAUUUAGCAGAUUUAAUUAUGAGAACCUACUUGAGCUUGCAUCUAUCUACUUAGUCGAGUUUGAUCCAGAAGAACAAUAUCAUUUGGAUGGUCAACUCAAGAUAUACAUUGAUAUGAUGAAAAGGUCUGAUGUUUUUUGCAGUUGUGGCAGUCUUGCUAAUCUUGCUCUCAAGUUGGUUGAAACUAAGGAACAUUUACACUUUCCUUUGGUUUACCGACUCAUCACACUUGCUUUGACUUUGCCAGUAGCGACGGCAUCUGUUGAAAGAGUUUUCUCAGCCAUGAAUAUCAUUAAGACAGAUUUGAGAAAUAAGAUAUCUGAUGAUUGGUUGAAUGAUCUGAUGAUAUGCUAUGUAGAGCGAGAUAUAUUUGCUGGAAUUGAUGACAAGAAGAUCAUAGAACAUUUUCACAGCUUGAGAGACCGUAGAGGCCAUCUACCAAACCCUCCCCGUAAACUUACGACUUAG
Molecule: ribosomal RNA, 1170 nt
Filed under: Triticum aestivum (bread wheat)
Lineage: Eukaryota; Viridiplantae; Streptophyta; Magnoliopsida; Poales; Poaceae
Description: partial small subunit ribosomal RNA
Source: RNAcentral